UUAACUCUAAUAGUUUAUUAAAACAUUGGUCUUGU
Molecule: transfer RNA, 35 nt
Filed under: Emberiza striolata
Lineage: Eukaryota; Metazoa; Chordata; Aves; Passeriformes; Fringillidae
Also listed under: 1 other name
Description: Fringillaria striolata partial tRNA-Thr
Source: RNAcentral